GGUUAAGCGACUAAGCGUACACGGUGGAUGCCCUGGCAGUCAGAGGCGAUGAAGGACGUGCUAAUCUGCGAUAAGCGUCGGUAAGGUGAUAUGAACCGUUAUAACCGGCGAUUUCCGAAUGGGGAAACCCAGUGUGAUUCGUCACACUAUCAUUAACUGAAUCCAUAGGUUAAUGAGGCGAACCGGGGGAACUGAAAACAUCUAAGUACCCCGAGGAAAAGAAAUCAACCGAGAUUCCCCCAGUAGCGGCGAGCGAACGGGGAGGAGCCCAGAGCCUGAAUCAGUGUGUGUGUUAGUGGAAGCGUCUGGAAAGGCGCGCGAUACAGGGUGACAGCCCCGUACACAAAAAUGCACAUGCUGUGAGCUCGAUGAGUAGGGCGGGACACGUGGUAUCCUGUCUGAAUAUGGGGGGACCAUCCUCCAAGGCUAAAUACUCCUGACUGACCGAUAGUGAACCAGUACCGUGAGGGAAAGGCGAAAAGAACCCCGGCGAGGGGGAGUGAAAAAGAACCUGAAACCGUGUACGUACAAGCAGUGGGAGCACAGAGCAAUCUGUGUGACUGCGUACCUUUUGUAUAAUGGGUCAGCGACUUAUAUUCUGUAGCAAGGUUAACCGAAUAGGGGAGCCGAAGGGAAACCGAGUCUUAACUGGGCGUUAAGUUGCAGGGUAUAGACCCGAAACCCGGUGAUCUAGCCAUGGGCAGGUUGAAGGUUGGGUAACACUAACUGGAGGACCGAACCGACUAAUGUUGAAAAAUUAGCGGAUGACUUGUGGCUGGGGGUGAAAGGCCAAUCAAACCGGGAGAUAGCUGGUUCUCCCCGAAAGCUAUUUAGGUAGCGCCUCGUGAAUUCAUCUCCGGGGGUAGAGCACUGUUUCGGCAAGGGGGUCAUCCCGACUUACCAACCCGAUGCAAACUGCGAAUACCGGAGAAUGUUAUCACGGGAGACACACGGCGGGUGCUAACGUCCGUCGUGAAGAGGGAAACAACCCAGACCGCCAGCUAAGGUCCCAAAGUCAUGGUUAAGUGGGAAACGAUGUGGGAAGGCCCAGACAGCCAGGAUGUUGGCUUAGAAGCAGCCAUCAUUUAAAGAAAGCGUAAUAGCUCACUGGUCGAGUCGGCCUGCGCGGAAGAUGUAACGGGGCUAAACCAUGCACCGAAGCUGCGGCAGCGACACUGUGUGUUGUUGGGUAGGGGAGCGUUCUGUAAGCCUGUGAAGGUGUGCUGUGAGGCAUGCUGGAGGUAUCAGAAGUGCGAAUGCUGACAUAAGUAACGAUAAAGCGGGUGAAAAGCCCGCUCGCCGGAAGACCAAGGGUUCCUGUCCAACGUUAAUCGGGGCAGGGUGAGUCGACCCCUAAGGCGAGGCCGAAAGGCGUAGUCGAUGGGAAACAGGUUAAUAUUCCUGUACUUGGUGUUACUGCGAAGGGGGGACGGAGAAGGCUAUGUUGGCCGGGCGACGGUUGUCCCGGUUUAAGCGUGUAGGCUGGUUUUCCAGGCAAAUCCGGAAAAUCAAGGCUGAGGCGUGAUGACGAGGCACUACGGUGCUGAAGCAACAAAUGCCCUGCUUCCAGGAAAAGCCUCUAAGCAUCAGGUAACAUCAAAUCGUACCCCAAACCGACACAGGUGGUCAGGUAGAGAAUACCAAGGCGCUUGAGAGAACUCGGGUGAAGGAACUAGGCAAAAUGGUGCCGUAACUUCGGGAGAAGGCACGCUGAUAUGUAGGUGAAGUCCCUCGCGGAUGGAGCUGAAAUCAGUCGAAGAUACCAGCUGGCUGCAACUGUUUAUUAAAAACACAGCACUGUGCAAACACGAAAGUGGACGUAUACGGUGUGACGCCUGCCCGGUGCCGGAAGGUUAAUUGAUGGGGUCAGCGCAAGCGAAGCUCUUGAUCGAAGCCCCGGUAAACGGCGGCCGUAACUAUAACGGUCCUAAGGUAGCGAAAUUCCUUGUCGGGUAAGUUCCGACCUGCACGAAUGGCGUAAUGAUGGCCGGGCUGUCUCCACCCGAGACUCAGUGAAAUUGAACUCGCUGUGAAGAUGCAGUGUACCCGCGGCAAGACGGAAAGACCCCGUGAACCUUUACUAUAGCUUGACACUGAACAUUGAGCCUUGAUGUGUAGGAUAGGUGGGAGGCUUUGAAGUGUGGACGCCAGUCUGCAUGGAGCCGACCUUGAAAUACCACCCCUUUAAUGUUUGAUGUUCUAACGUGGACCCGUGAUCCGGGUUGCGGACAGUGUCUGGUGGGUAGUUUGACUGGGGCGGUCUCCUCCUAAAGAGUAACGGAGGAGCACGAAGGUUGGCUAAUCCCCGGUCGGACAUCAGGAGGUUAGUGCAAUGGCAUAAGCCAGCUUGACUGCGAGCGUGACGGCGCGAGCAGGUGCGAAAGCAGGUCAUAGUGAUCCGGUGGUUCUGAAUGGAAGGGCCAUCGCUCAACGGAUAAAAGGUACUCCGGGGAUAACAGGCUGAUACCGCCCAAGAGUUCAUAUCGACGGCGGUGUUUGGCACCUCGAUGUCGGCUCAUCACAUCCUGGGGCUGAAGUAGGUCCCAAGGGUAUGGCUGUUCGCCAUUUAAAGUGGUACGCGAGCUGGGUUUAGAACGUCGUGAGACAGUUCGGUCCCUAUCUGCCGUGGGCGCUGGAGAACUGAGGGGGCUGCUCCUAGUACGAGAGGACCGGAGUGGACGCAUCACUGGUGUUCGGGUUGUCAUGCCAAUGGCACUGCCCGGUAGCUAAAUGCGGAAGAGAUAAGUGCUGAAAGCAUCUAAGCACGAAACUUGCCCCGAGAUGAGUUCUCCCUGACCCUUUAAGGGUCCUGAAGGAACGUUGAAGACGACGACGUUGAUAGGCCGGGUGUGUAAGCGCAGCGAUGCGUUGAGCUAACCGGUACUAAUGAACCGUGAGGCUUAACCUU
Molecule: ribosomal RNA, 2908 nt
Filed under: Escherichia coli
Lineage: Bacteria; Pseudomonadati; Pseudomonadota; Gammaproteobacteria; Enterobacterales; Enterobacteriaceae
Description: 23S ribosomal RNA
Rfam family: Bacterial large subunit ribosomal RNA
Source: RNAcentral